RNAcentral lists this ribosomal RNA (709 nucleotides) under Paraburkholderia fungorum. Its description in RNAcentral is "bacterial SSU rRNA". It matches the Rfam family "Bacterial small subunit ribosomal RNA", at positions 82 to 787 of the family's 1533-position model. The record is from RNAcentral. Lineage: Bacteria; Pseudomonadati; Pseudomonadota; Betaproteobacteria; Burkholderiales; Burkholderiaceae.
ACCCUGGUGGCGAGUGGCGAACGGGUGAGUAAUACAUCGGAACGUGUCCUGUAGUGGGGGAUAGCCCGGCGAAAGCCGGAUUAAUACCGCAUACGCUCUACGGAGGAAAGGGGGGGAUCUUAGGACCUCCCGCUACAGGGGCGGCCGAUGGCAGAUUAGCUAGUUGGUGGGGUAAAGGCCUACCAAGGCGACGAUCUGUAGCUGGUCUGAGAGGACGACCAGCCACACUGGGACUGAGACACGGCCCAGACUCCUACGGGAGGCAGCAGUGGGGAAUUUUGGACAAUGGGGGCAACCCUGAUCCAGCAAUGCCGCGUGUGUGAAGAAGGCCUUCGGGUUGUAAAGCACUUUUGUCCGGAAAGAAAACGCCGUGGUUAAUACCCGUGGCGGAUGACGGUACCGGAAGAAUAAGCACCGGCUAACUACGUGCCAGCAGCCGCGGUAAUACGUAGGGUGCAAGCGUUAAUCGGAAUUACUGGGCGUAAAGCGUGCGCAGGCGGUCCGCUAAGACAGAUGUGAAAUCCCCGGGCUUAACCUGGGAACUGCAUUUGUGACUGGCGGGCUAGAGUAUGGCAGAGGGGGGUAGAAUUCCACGUGUAGCAGUGAAAUGCGUAGAGAUGUGGAGGAAUACCGAUGGCGAAGGCAGCCCCCUGGGCCAAUACUGACGCUCAUGCACGAAAGCGUGGGGAGCAAACAGGAUUAGAUACCC